GCCUGGAUAGCCCAGUGGGUUAGAGUGUUGCUCUGAUAACACCAAGGUUGCAGGUUUGAUCCCUGUAUGUUCCAGCUCUACA
This is a non-coding RNA of Podarcis lilfordi (Lilford's wall lizard), 82 nucleotides long. The record is from the annotation of a GenBank genome assembly. Lineage: Eukaryota; Metazoa; Chordata; Lepidosauria; Squamata; Lacertidae.